This 305-nucleotide ribosomal RNA is filed under the name uncultured bacterium. RNAcentral describes it as "bacterial SSU rRNA". It matches the Rfam family "Bacterial small subunit ribosomal RNA", at positions 333 to 655 of the family's 1533-position model. The record is from RNAcentral.
UGAUGCCUAUGGGACGCAGCAGUAGGGAAUUUUCGUCAAUGGGCGCAAGCCUGAACGAGCAAUGCCGCGUGAGUGAAGAAGGUCUUCGGAUUGUAAAGCUCUUUCGGACGUGACGAUGAUGACGGUAGCGUCUAAAGAAGCACCGGCAAACUUCGUGCCAGCAGCCGCGGUAAUACGAAGGGUGCGAGCGUUGUUCGGAAUUACUGGGCGUAAAGGGAGUGUAGGCGGAUAUGUAAGAUAGCGGUGAAAUGCCGGGGCUCAACCCCGGAACUGCCAUUAUGACUAUGUAUCUAGAGUAAUGGAGG